CUACGGGCCGCAGCAGUGAGGAAUUUUGCGCAAUGGGGGAAACCCUGACGCAGCAACGCCGCGUGAGUGAUGAAGGCUUUCGAGUCGUAAAGCUCUGUCAAGUGGGAAGAAACUGUUUUAUGCCAAUACUAUAAAGCACUGACGGUACCACUGAAGGAAGCACCGGCUAACUCCGUGCCAGCAGCCGCGGUAAUACGGGGGGUGCAAGCGUUAUUCGGACUUAUUGGGCGUAAAGAGCGCGUAGGCGGUCUUUUAAGUCAGAUGUGAAAGCCCAGGGCUCAACCCUGGAAGUGCAUUUGAUACUAAGAGUCUUGAGUAUGGGAGAGGGAAGUGGAAUUCCUGGUGUAGAGGUGAAAUUCGUAGAUAUCAGGAGGAACACCGGUGGCGAAGGCGACUUCCUGGACCAAUACUGACGCUGAGGCGCGAAGGCGUGGGGAGCAAACAGGAUUAGAUACCCUAGUAGUC
RNAcentral lists this ribosomal RNA (465 nucleotides) under uncultured bacterium. RNAcentral describes it as "partial 16S ribosomal RNA". It matches the Rfam family "Bacterial small subunit ribosomal RNA", at positions 339 to 795 of the family's 1533-position model. The record is from RNAcentral.